GGUGCUUGCACCGAGCGGAUGAGUUGCGAACGGGUGAGUAACGCGUAGGUAACCUGCCUGGUAGCGGGGGAUAACUAUUGGAAACGAUAGCUAAUACCGCAUAACAGUAGAUAUUGCAUGAUAUCUGCUUGAAAGGGGCAAUUGCUUCACUACCAGAUGGACCUGCGUUGUAUUAGCUAGUUGGUGAGGUAACGGCUCACCAAGGCGACGAUACAUAGCCGACCUGAGAGGGUGAUCGGCCACACUGGGACUGAGACACGGCCCAGACUCCUACGGGAGGCAGCAGUAGGGAAUCUUCGGCAAUGGACGGAAGUCUGACCGAGCAACGCCGCGUGAGUGAAGAAGGUUUUCGGAUCGUAAAGCUCUGUUGUAAGAGAAGAACGAGUGUGAGAGUGGAAAGUUCACACUGUGACGGUAUCUUACCAGAAAGGGACGGCUAACUACGUGCCAGCAGCCGCGGUAAUACGUAGGUCCCGAGCGUUAUCCGGAUUUAUUGGGCGUAAAGCGAGCGCAGGCGGUUAGAUAAGUCUGAAGUUAAAGGCUGUGGCUUAACCAUAGUAC
RNAcentral lists this ribosomal RNA (561 nucleotides) under Streptococcus sp. HFH0033. Its description in RNAcentral is "bacterial SSU rRNA". It matches the Rfam family "Bacterial small subunit ribosomal RNA", at positions 75 to 621 of the family's 1533-position model. The record is from RNAcentral. Lineage: Bacteria; Bacillati; Bacillota; Bacilli; Lactobacillales; Streptococcaceae.